AGGCUUAACACAUGCAAGUCGAGGGGCAGCAUUUUAGUUUGCUUGCAAACUGAAGAUGGCGACCGGCGCACGGGUGAGUAACACGUAUCCAACCUGCCGAUAACUCCGGGAUAGCCUUUCGAAAGAAAGAUUAAUACCGGAUAGCAUACGAAUAUCGCAUGAUAUUUUUAUUAAAGAAUUUCGGUUAUCGAUGGGGAUGCGUUCCAUUAGUUUGUUGGCGGGGUAACGGCCCACCAAGACUACGAUGGAUAGGGGUUCUGAGAGGAAGGUCCCCCACAUUGGAACUGAGACACGGUCCAAACUCCUACGGGAGGCAGCAGUGAGGAAUAUUGGUCAAUGGGCGCGAGCCUGAACCAGCCAAGUAGCGUGAAGGAUGAAGGCUCUAUGGGUCGUAAACUUCUUUUAUAUGGGAAUAAAGUUUUCCACGUGUGGAAUUUUGUAUGUACCAUAUGAAUAAGGAUCGGCUAACUCCGUGCCAGCAGCCGCGGUAAUACGGAGGAUCCGAGCGUUAUCCGGAUUUAUUGGGUUUAAAGGGAGCGUAGGUGGAUUGUUAAGUCAGUUGUGAAAGUUUGCGGCUCAACCGUAAAAUUGCAGUUGAAACUGGCAGUCUUGAGUACAGUAGAGGUGGGCGGAAUUCGUGGUGUAGCGGUGAAAUGCUUAGAUAUCACGAAGAACUCCGAUUGCGAAGGCAGCUCACUAGACUGUCACUGA
Molecule: ribosomal RNA, 711 nt
Filed under: uncultured Bacteroidales bacterium
Lineage: Bacteria; Pseudomonadati; Bacteroidota; Bacteroidia; Bacteroidales
Description: bacterial SSU rRNA
Rfam family: Bacterial small subunit ribosomal RNA
Source: RNAcentral